RNAcentral lists this ribosomal RNA (731 nucleotides) under Funneliformis caledonium. Its description in RNAcentral is "LSU rRNA". It matches the Rfam family "Eukaryotic large subunit ribosomal RNA", at positions 57 to 632 of the family's 3401-position model. The record is from RNAcentral. Lineage: Eukaryota; Fungi; Glomeromycota; Glomeromycetes; Glomerales; Glomeraceae.
AAAAGAAAAUAACAAUGAUUCCCUCAGUAACGGCGAGCGAAGAGGGAUAAGCUCAAAUUUUAAAUCUGUUGGGUUUCACCUAACAGAGUUGUAUUUUGAAGAAACGUUUUCUGCGUCCAGGAUUAGCCUAAAUCCUUUGGGAUAAGGUAUCAUGGAGGGUGAGAAUCCCGUUCAUGGUUAAUCUUAAGGAUGCUCUACGAUACGUUCUCCAAGAGUCGAGUUGUUUGGGAUUGCAGCUCAAAAUGGGAGGUAAAUUUCUCCUAAGGCUAAAUAUUGGCGAGAGACCGAUAGCGAACAAGUACCGUGAGGGAAAGAUGAAAAGAACUUUGAAAAGAGAGUUAAACAGUACGUGAAAUUGUUGAAAGGGAAACGAUUGAAGUCAGUCAUACUAACGGGAAAUCAACCUCUUGAGUUUGGUCUCGUGGGUUUCGAAAAGUUUUAAAACCCUCCGAAUUUCCAAAAUGGGGUCUUCUGGUGUACUUUCUCGUACGGUUAGUCAACAUCGGUUUUGAAUGUCAUAAAAUGACUGGAGGAAUGUGGCUUCGAUCUCGUAUUGAAGUGUUAUAUCCUUUGGUAGAUGUGAUGUUGAGACCGAGGAUUGCAACGGAUACCCUUCUGGGCUAUUCGUCUGAUCUCUGAAACGUUGCCUUGAUGUCGAAAGCUUGCUUAUGAUGUUAAGGUAUUACGGUCAAAAGGUUAGAACGGAUUAAAUCCCUUAAGGAUGUUGACGU